This 397-nucleotide ribosomal RNA is filed under the name uncultured bacterium. RNAcentral describes it as "partial 16S ribosomal RNA". It matches the Rfam family "Bacterial small subunit ribosomal RNA", at positions 523 to 918 of the family's 1533-position model. The record is from RNAcentral.
AUACGUAGGGGGCGAGCGUUGUCCGGAAUGAUUGGGCGUAAAGGGCGCGUAGGCGGCCCGGUAAGUCUGGAGUGAAAGUCCUGUUUUUAAGAUGGGAAUUGCUUUGGAUACUGUCGGGCUUGAGUGCAGGAGAGGUAAGUGGAAUUCCCAGUGUAGCGGUGAAAUGCGUAGAGAUUGGGAGGAACACCAGUGGCGAAGGCGACUUACUGGACUGUAACUGACGCUGAGGCGCGAACGUGUGGGGAGCAAACAGGAUUAGAUACCCUGGUAGUCCUCACUGUAAACGAUGAAUGCUAGGUGUAGGGGGUAUCGACCCCUUCUGUGCCGCAGUCAACACAAUAAGCAUUCCGCCUGGGGAGUACGGCCGCAAGGUUGAAACUCAAAGGAAUUGACGGGG